CCGAGUUUACAACUCCCAAACCCCUGUGAACAUACCUACUUGUUGCCUCGGCGGAUCAGCCCGCGCCCGUAAAACGGGACGGCCCGCCAGAGGAACCCCUAAACUCUGUUUCUAUAGUGGAACUUCUGAGUAAAAAACCAUAAUAAAUCA
This 150-nucleotide unclassified non-coding RNA is filed under the name soil metagenome. RNAcentral's name for it is "partial internal transcribed spacer 1". The record is from RNAcentral.